UCACAGAAUCGCCACCAUACUGUAGUACC
Molecule: non-coding RNA, 29 nt
Filed under: Rattus norvegicus (Norway rat)
Lineage: Eukaryota; Metazoa; Chordata; Mammalia; Rodentia; Muridae
Source: RNAcentral